UGAAAAGAAAAGGUGUGUGUAUAUAUAAAUCCAUAAGAGCAAGCAGCCACAAGCCACACCCACCAACACUCUUUAUUUGAGGUAGAUAAGAAGAAACAUACACAACUGGCGAUGUGGAAUAUGAAGGCUGUUUUGUUUAAAAA
This is a non-coding RNA of Carica papaya (papaya), 143 nucleotides long. Lineage: Eukaryota; Viridiplantae; Streptophyta; Magnoliopsida; Brassicales; Caricaceae. The record is from RefSeq and is a predicted model, not a curated record.